GACGAACGCUGGCGGCGUGCUUAACACAUGCAAGUCGAACGGAAAGGCCCUGCUUUUGUGGGGUGCUCGAGUGGCGAACGGGUGAGUAACACGUGAGUAACCUGCCCUUGACUUUGGGAUAACUUCAGGAAACUGGGGCUAAUACCGGAUAGGAGCUCCUGCUGCAUGGUGGGGGUUGGAAAGUUUCGGCGGUUGGGGAUGGACUCGCGGCUUAUCAGCUUGUUGGUGGGGUAGUGGCUUACCAAGGCUUUGACGGGUAGCCGGCCUGAGAGGGUGACCGGCCACAUUGGGACUGGGAUACGGCCCAGACUCCUACGGGAGGCAGCAGUGGGGAAUAGUGCACGAUGGGCGGAAGCCUGAUGCAGCAACGCCGCGUGCGGGAUGACGGCCUUCGGGUUGUAAACCGCUUUCGCCUGUGACGAAGCGUGAGUGACGGUAAUGGGUAAAGAAGCACCGGCUAACUACGUG
This 468-nucleotide ribosomal RNA is filed under the name uncultured bacterium. RNAcentral's name for it is "partial 16S ribosomal RNA". It matches the Rfam family "Bacterial small subunit ribosomal RNA", at positions 28 to 507 of the family's 1533-position model. The record is from RNAcentral.